This is a non-coding RNA of Camellia sinensis, 807 nucleotides long. The record is from RefSeq and is a predicted model, not a curated record. NCBI's taxonomy places the organism in Eukaryota, Viridiplantae, Streptophyta, Magnoliopsida, Ericales, Theaceae.
CUUUUUUGUCUGUUUAUGUUGGUGGGAUGGGCUUUUAAUAAAGCUCUUUUAGCUUGAGUAGUAACCCAUUGUUUGGAGGAGUAUUUGGAAUGCAAAGUCUCUUCUGGAGGUUGUGCUGCGUUGGCUUAUUGGAAAUGCAGGUCUAUGAAGAUUUGGAAAGAUAGAUGGAUUCCAAGGCCUUACUCUUACAAAGCUAUUUGUGUUUCCAAAGUCCUCCAUGCCGAUGCUAAGGCUUUCUCAUGACAUACUGGUUUGGCACUUCACUAAAAGUGGCCUUUUUUUAUGUUAAGUUGGCAUAUCAUUUGGAGAUGGAUUUGUGAAGCAGAGAAACACCAGUCAGUUCAGAUGAUGGGAGUUUUGAAAGGGCGUUUUCAAGGAAGAUUUGGCAGCUGAAAAUUCUAAAUAAAGUGAAAAUAUUCUCAUGGAAAACAUGUUCGAAUAUCUUUCCUGUUCAAUCAAAGUUGAGGAGGCCCAGCUCAAAAUUUUCUUUUCUUGAUUCAGGAGUUUAGCCAACAAAUGGAUGUGUUGCGUUUGGGAUUAUUGUUUUUCAUUUGCUGAAGUAUUUUGAACAAUUGCAAUGAUUGCGUUUUAACUAGAAGAGUCAAUCAGCAGAGGAUGUUGCUAGGCAAGUCGCUGAUUACUUACAACACAGCUCAAGAUCACUACUCCUGUUCAGCAAAAAGAUGUUUCCAGUUGCCAGUUGGAGGGCUUUGAUGGAAGGCUUUGUUGUUGUGGAAACAAACUUUAGGAUGUAUUCAUAAUCAUUGUCUAAACCACAUUGCAAGAUUUUGUGCUCUUCUCAUGCUA